This 217-nucleotide long non-coding RNA is filed under the name Carica papaya (papaya). RNAcentral describes it as "long non-coding RNA (CPAP_LNC011119)". Lineage: Eukaryota; Viridiplantae; Streptophyta; Magnoliopsida; Brassicales; Caricaceae. The record is from RNAcentral.
UUACUGAUAAAUGAGUUUUAUUGUAAAUUAUGCUCCAUUGGUCUUUUCGUGUUUUCUACCCACCUUUACCUCCGUGACAGUGAGAUAUCGUGAUGUCCUUAUUGGGCUAGUGUAGCUCAUUCCUUAUUUAAUCAUUUCAGAUCAGGAAGACAUUGUUCCCGAGCUCGUUCCGCAAGAAGACGACAUAGGGGACGCCUAAAGACUCCAAAGUCAUAUU